Molecule: ribosomal RNA, 494 nt
Filed under: uncultured bacterium
Lineage: Bacteria
Description: partial 16S ribosomal RNA
Rfam family: Bacterial small subunit ribosomal RNA
Source: RNAcentral
GACGAACGCUGGCGGCGCGCUUAACACAUGCAAGUCGAACGGACAGGCCUGCUUUCCCUUGUGCAUUGCGGGUACUCGAGUGGCGAACGGGUGAGUAACACGUGAGUGAUCUGCCCCCAACUUGGGUAUAAGCCUGGGAAACUGGGUCUAAUUCUCGAUAGGACUGCAGGGUGGUGCCUUUGGUGGAAAACGUUUUUCUAGUGGUUGGGGAUGAGCUCGCGGCCUAUCAGCUUGUUGGUGGGGUAAUGGCCGACCAAGGCGGCGACGGGUAGCCGGCCUGAGAGGGUGGACGGCGACAUUGGGACUGAGUUACGGCCCAGACUCGUACGAGAGGCAGCGGUGGGGAAUAUUGGACAAUGGGCGGAAGCCUGAUGCAGCGACGGAGCGUGGAGGAUGACGGCCUUCGGGUUGUAAGCUCCUUUCGACCGCGAGGAAGCCACCUGGUUGGGAGGGUGGUGACGGUAGUGGUAGAAGAAGCACCGGCUAACUACGUG